AAAUGCGAUAAGUAGUGUGAUUUGCAGAAUUCAGUGAAUCAUCGAAUCUUUGAACGCACAUUGCGCCCUUUGGUAUUCCUUAGGGCAUGCCUGUUCGAGCGUCAUCUAAACCUUCAAGCCCUGCUUGGUGUUGGGUGCCUGUCCCGCCUCCGCGCGCGGACUCACCUCAAAUCCAUUGGCGGCCCCCGCGUCGGCCACGAGCGCAGCAGAAACGCGAACUCGUGAGCCCGUCCGGGCGGCUCCCAGAAGCUACACCCACCCAGUUUGACCUCGGAUCAGGUAGGGAUACCCGCUGAACUUAAGC
Molecule: unclassified non-coding RNA, 304 nt
Filed under: plant metagenome
Description: partial contains 5.8S ribosomal RNA, internal transcribed spacer 2, and large subunit ribosomal RNA
Rfam family: 5.8S ribosomal RNA (bases 1-104)
Source: RNAcentral